Molecule: transfer RNA, 64 nt
Filed under: Antarctonemertes valida
Lineage: Eukaryota; Metazoa; Nemertea; Enopla; Monostilifera; Oerstediidae
Description: tRNA-Phe
Source: RNAcentral
AUUUAGAUAGCUUAAACUAGAGCAUGACGUUGAAGUUGUUAAGGUAAAAACAUUUUUCUGAAUA